CUUCAGUUGGGAAACAGAAUAAGUACCAGCCGGCACUCUACCUCUAACAUCAUCCCUCCAAUAUGAACGAUGACGAGGAGAAACACAGCCACGGAGCCAGGCAGGCCCCCAACGUCAAACCCAAAUUCAAUCAGAAAGAACAUAAUAGCAAGGAGGACAUGUGGAAGAAGGUUAGGCCUGUGAGGAGAUCGAGGAGUACCGACUCGGAGAGGGGGGAGAGGGGGGAAAGAGGCAGGAGGAGAGAAAGAGACAGCAGGCGCCAGGCACAUGGGAGUCAGCGGGGGAGGAGUGAGGAGACCCGGAGCAACAGGAGGAAGGUGAAACCCCCUGAAGAUGAUGUGGAGGACACUGAAUGUGCUGUGUGUUUCUGCAAAUACAAUAACAUCUUCAAGACCCCCAAGCUGCUGGUGUGCGGGCAUACCUUCUGCCUGGAGUGCCUUGCUCGCAUCAACGUAACCACUCCUGAGGUCAAGACCCUGUGCUGCCCCAUAUGCCGUGCGCUGACCGAGCUCCCCCACGGCCAGGACCUGCCCCGCCUGGGCAACAAUGAGGACAUCAUAGGCAAACUCCCAUCACACAUGCAGAGGGCACUGUCCAUCCGCUUCAAGCGUAGCAAGGGCAAACUGCUCCUGAAGAACCCUCCUCCCAGAAGCCAGAUCAAGUCUAACAUUCUCAGCCUGCCUCAAAAGAGCCACGAUGGCCAGGUGACAGCAGGUGGUGACCUCCACUUGGAUGCCAUGGAGCAGGGAACAAUCACGACCGCUGUGGUGAACGUAGGCAGGCCUCCAAACAGGGUCAGAGGUCGCUUGCGCAGGUUGUUCCGCUCGAACCAGUGCUACUACGUCGUGGUGGGGUCCAUCAUCGCCAUCACUGUGGCACUCAUGCUGGUGGGGAUUCUGGCCUUUGUGAUCAUACCGAAUAUAAGGUCUGUGAGGCCAGGGUCACAGAGUCCGCCAAAUACGGGCAGUCCAGGAACUAGACCCUGAAGGGGUCACGGGUGGACAGGCUGGAGAGACUUAAGGGGAGAAAGAGAAUAUUACUUAAUUAUCAUUUUGCCUGCUUUUGUUCUAAUGGUGAAGAAAAACAAAAGCACUGGAACACGUUCAGGCCAGUUCAGUGAAGCACAGGAAUGAAGGAAAACAAGGGCACCAACAUUGUUUUUUAAUGAAGGACACGGCGACUCAGAGUUGCACAAAGGCAAUAAACAAGGAAAAGAGGGCAAACCUGCAUGUAUGUUGUUUUUUUACUCUUUUAUUAACAUGUUUGUAAUUAAUGUGAAAGCCAAAUAUAGCCUAUAACUGUAAAUUCAUGGACAGUUAAUGUGCAAUAAGUUGUAAAUGUUGAAUUGCGCUAAACAUUGUAAUAUAAAGACUUGAGUAUUGUUCAAUUGUAUCAGGCUGAUUUCCACAACCAGUUUAAGGUUUGUUUGUAGAACAACUCAUAAUUAACCAAAGAUGAUGUAUAGGCUAUAUACAGUAAGUAUUUUCUUUUUCCACUUCGAAGAAAGGAUUUUAUUUCACAUAAGCAAAGCAUUUUUUUGAGACGGAAAGCUCAUGGUUCAGUAUUUCCAAAACAUGUGGUAACAACUUUAUUCAUGUGAACAUAUGUUGUUCCUUUCUCUGUGUGCAGUAUGGUGGGGAUUUUCUGUCCAUUUUCAUGACAUUUUUCUCAAGUAAAAACUGAUUUUGUACAUGUCUUCUUCAGACACUCUGGUGGUGUAAACAGACUAGUUAAAAAUGUGGUUGGAAUUGUUAUUUUAGCUCGGCUGCACAUCUCGGUUGCUUAGGUGACAAACCUGUUUGACAGCAUGACUGUCUUUAUGUACGUGGCAUUGUUUCUGCUCAGUGACGUUAGCUGUGAUGAGAUAUUGAGCAGAGGUGAGUUAUGUAUGUAAUAUGCCAUCCAACUCUUUCGGUGUGGGGCGGACCAAACUUGACACACAAAUCAGUCAACAACCAACUGCAGGAACGACAUAAGCAAAUAUUAGUUCAGUAAAAUUUAAGUCUGUUUUUCCUGCAGUCCUUCAGCUUAUUGGCUACACUUUUAAACUUAAAGGCAAGUUUUAACUAGCAAGAUAAAUGCAGCACUGUGAUAUAUGGUAAAGUAAUGUGCUUCUAUAUUCCAAUAAUUGGUAAACAGUCUGUAAAACUGACAAAGGCUAUACACAUAUAACUCUUGCAGGCCUGCCCCAAAAACAGUGGGGGAAUGUGAGUAUAGUAGGCCACAUUAUUCAGGGUCAUUAUUAUUCACUUUACUUUCCUGUUUCCAUUUUAUGCCACUUUACUUUCUCCCACAACAUUUAUCUGACAGUUGUAUCAAUGAAUAACAAACCUUUUACUUUUUAAUUAUAUUUCAUUAUUUCCAUCAAUAAGUAAAACAUAUACCAGCAUACUGUGUAGUUUCAUACUCCAAUCAGAGUACAACUCCUACUAAUAACAGUAUUCUACGCCACAGGAUCUUAAACCACACUCAUGCAUGCUCAAACUCAUACUUUAACACAUGCACCUCCCCAGAUAGUUUGACACCAUCCAUCCAAUGGGGGAUUUUAGCUUGUCUGUAUUUUGGAAGCUCUGCUCUGCUCUGUGUAUUCAAUUUUGAUUUUACAAAUGUUGGUGAUUCAUUUUUGGAUCUCUAACCAAACCUUACAAACCUUCUCACAUUCCCAGAAAGCGUGUAUUAUUGUCUCCUUGUGUAUACCACAUUUUAUACAAACAGGGGAGAAAGAGGCCUCAAAAUUGAUUUAUUUUUAGUGUAAUUUAUUCUUGGCAGGAGUUUGUAUUGUAUAAGGCUGAUUUUCAUUGAUGGUAAUGGUGUUGGUUACAUUUAGGCAAUCUUUCCAGGUUAUUCUAGAGUUAUUUAUUAUUUUGGGAUCAUGUUCCAAUCCUUAUAUAUAUAUUUUUGGAGUGAAUAGUUAUCUGCCUGUGCUUCUUCACGGUGUUUGUACAAUUUCCCUAUUCAUUUCUUGUUUCGUCCUGAGUUUAGGAAAAGCCUCUGAGUAGCCAAGAGUUUUGUAGGGCUAUUAUAGUUCAAGUCAAAGUUAUCUGUUAUCCAGCUCUUUAAUUGAAGAUACCUAAAAAGUUCCUUAAUGCAAAUUAACCCUAUUACCAAUUGUUCAUCAAUGAGUGACAAAGGAAUAACAACUAUUGGAGAUAUGACUUCUCAUAUAAAGCUAUAAAUGUAGCUGGUCCAAAGGCCCCAACCAGACACUGCUUUGUGUUGAAACCACUGGUUUAAUUGUUCACUUUAUAGUAAUAAUUGCUAAUGAUCACAAUACAGUAUUUACCUCACAUUUCCCUCUGAAAUGCAGUAUGAAACCCUGUGGUAGGCCUACAAGAAAAGGUCCUAGAUUCAGGUGCAUCAUAUCUUAUAAGCUGGAAUGUUCCUACAUCCUACUGUGUUUUGAGGUAGCCUACUUGUACUUUACUUGGGUAUUUCCACCCCCGUUUCCUAAAGACACACCCCUCUAAGCCCCUUCCCGGACUAUCGAGGCAAAUAUGGUAGGGUGCACCAGAGCAGAAAGACCCCCCCCCCUCCACUCCUUACGCAAAUAAACCUUCAUACGUUCUGUGACUGCUUGGAUAGAGGUUAAACAUUGGGGAACUAAAAAAAAAAAAAGUCCUGAAAAAAGAAGCGGCUUGUUUUGGAUUUUAUUGACCAUGCUCCAUGGCUUCCACACCCUCCACCUCUGCCUUGUCUGCUGUUCUCCGGUGUCGGAGAAAUAUCUGGACCAGGAAUCCGCCGACGAAGCGGCCUGCCACCUCGGCGCACAGCCUCGGUCUGACCGGCGACUCGCCGGCUGAGCGCACCCGGUCAAAGCAGGCGUCAGCUUGGGAGCCUUCUUUCCAAGGAGACCGUGUACUGGUGGGAAGAGUAUAUACAUCUCCCCAUGUGGUUGUCAUAAUGUUGAGAGAAAAAGAUUCCAAUGAAACGAAUACAUUGUGUCCCGGUAAACUUUUGCAAUCCGCAGGGGACGCGCACUCAUCUGGUGUCCAAAACGCGCCGGUGCGCCAGCAGGCAAGCAGACUGACCUCUAACCUGCCUGGAUUAACCAUGUGCACUCAAAUAAUUCGGAAGAUUAAUUCCAAAACAUAUGCUCCACACAUCUGUAAAGUGACAUUUGUUCAGAAAACGAAUGAAUUCCCAGUUUUGAACGUGCUCAUAACGUCUCCAUGUGUGAUGGAGAAUGCGAGACAAAUGCCGUCUUUCGUGUUAACUGGCUGGUCAACCCUGAAGAGUGGCUGCGUGUCUUUGACUGCUCUGGUGUCAGAAUUAAUGCUGGUGGUGUUGUGGAGGUCCAGCAGCAGCCCUGAUGAUGCGCUACAGCCUCAAAACAUAAAAAACAAUGCCUUGCAGGCCAAUGGACACAUCCAAAGUCCCACUGGCAUCACCUGUUCCAAGGACAACUCCGGCUCUGGACACAUGAUCCCGGAACGCAGACCUGACUGAUAGCCCAGUCCAAGGCCUCAGCACCAAAAAUACACACUGUGAUCCAACCUUAUUUAUUGACUUUUACUCGGCUUUGAAAAUGCACAAAGCACAUUUGGACUUUAACCCAGUGACACAACAACUGCUUGUUUUUAGAACAGUUUUUUUUUUUUUUGCUUUAAGGAAAAGUAAGAAAUUCUGUAACAAGAAAUACCUGAGAAACAUCAGCCACAUGCCUUGUUUAGUACAUUAGUAAGACUACUGGUGGAGAGGAGGAAAAACUUAUUUUGCAAACAUGGAAUGGAGUUAAAUUAAAAGUAGGCCUGUUACAUCUCAGAAAAUGGAAAUAUUUAAAUCACAUUUAAGUACAAAGUAAUUGAAAGAUUUGUACUCAUUCGUUCCUCUUGUGUUUUGAAGAUGUUUGCUUGAUUGGUUUGCUUUUUUAUUCUUUCCAGCUUUUUAAAACAAUGUCCUGUAAAGUAUAAAAGUCAUGACGGAAGAGGUCAUUCAGAUCUUUAGUAAAAGUAGCAGUAUAGCAAUGCCUUUUAUUGCCUCAUAGUGUUAUUACUACUUUUAAUUAAAAGAUCUGAGUGUUUCUUCCACCACUAAAUAUGAGGCUGUACCGUGGCCAGUUGUUAGCUUAGCUUAGCUUAGCAUAAAGACUGGAAACAAGGGCAAGCGAUGGCUCAUCUGUCUCUGUCCGAAGAUGAGAUCUUACCUAUACCAGGACCUCUAAAGCUCAUUAAUUAACACGUUUUGUUUCAUUUGUUUAGGUAAUAAGCUAUGUGGGCUACAAAAGCUGAUGGCAAAAAUUACAAUUCACCAGUUAAGGCCUAACUAGUUGACACAAGUAACUCUGCUGGUUGCCUGGCAUGUGGCACUAUAGCCCAGAAAUAUUUUGGCACGUAAAGCCCCACAAAAUGUCUUUACACUACUUCUUCUUUCAACAAAUGAGGUAUAAUAUGUUAAUAAGCGAGUUUACAAUGCUGGUAGGCCUGAUUUGUCACAUUUGGACAGAGGUGUGGUCUCCCACACCACAAGUUCUGUCAUGUCCACUGCACCAUCACUACAACCAUUUAACCUUUAUUUAACCAGGAAGGCCAUUGAGAACAGGUUCUCAUUUGCAGUGGCGACCUGGUCAAGAGAAGCGUAGGCAUACAAGACAACAUAUAGUUUCAAAUUCAACAUAGUACAGGAAAACAGAAUACAAUAGGCUAUAAAAUUACAGAUUGAAUAGGCAGUUCAAGCUGCCGCAAAGUGAGGUGUAAAUAAGUUGAUGGGUGUGUGAAAGUGCUAUGGUGAUAACAUAAUAUACAUGAAAUAGACAAUCUACAACAUUGCUGGGGAGUAGAAAAGAGUCAGAGUACAGUUAGUGCAAGAUGUAAUCUAAUCAGAGAUGGGGAUCAGUAAUAACACCGUAAACAUGAACAGUCUGUCAAAAUGCUGUGCAUAGUAAAGAGGCAAUAUACAGUUAGUGCAAAUAUUUGUAGGUAGUGUGGUAAAAACAUGAAUAACACACUACACAUGAUAAUACAGCCUAUGUGAAUGUUAAAUGCUGUGAUGAAGUAGAGAGUCAAUGUACAGUAUGUGCAAAAUUAGGACUAUAGUGAUGUUGAAUGUUGAAAGACAGUAAUAUUUAAAGGCUGAAAUGUAGUAAAGAGUCAUUUUAGAGUUAGUGCAGGUUGUGGUCUGAAUAGUGAAGUAGGUGUAGAUGUGCAAAAACAAAAAACAAAAAAAAAUUGUAUGACAAGAAGGUGUUGCUACAGUGGUGGGGAGAAAUACAGUUAUGCAUGCCAGGGCAGGUGCAAGGUUUCAAAAACGUGUAAACAGAUGUGGAAUGGGGCUUGUCAGAGACAGUGGGAUAGGGUGUAUAAAAAUAAUACAUGAAUGAUUCUGAGGUUGUAGUCCCCCACUGCUGCUGAAAUAAGACGGUGAAAGAAGUAGAUCGAGGCUACUCAGAAAUUUUGCUCAAAUCAAAGCAGCAAUGCCACAGUUUAAAAAUACUCUUUUACACGCAUUCCAAAUCAAAAGUACACACUCUUGACAACAAUCAAUUACUGGAUUAUAAUUAGUAGGCUAAUUUAUUUUGUGUACAUAACUUUAUUGGUGGGGCUAAUUACUUUUAUAUAUGUAGGGUGGCUCAAUAAUGAUAAUUAAUGAUAAU
RNA transcript from Etheostoma spectabile (orangethroat darter), 6589 nucleotides. It is a transcript of the gene named ring finger protein 183, with no coding region annotated. The transcript has 2 exons. Lineage: Eukaryota; Metazoa; Chordata; Actinopteri; Perciformes; Percidae. The record is from RefSeq and is a predicted model, not a curated record.